This 214-nucleotide RNase P RNA is filed under the name Candidatus Arcticimaribacter sp. RNAcentral describes it as "partial RNase P RNA component class A". It matches the Rfam family "Bacterial RNase P class A", at positions 1 to 266 of the family's 367-position model. From Rfam's summary of the family: Ribonuclease P (RNase P) is a ubiquitous endoribonuclease, found in archaea, bacteria and eukarya as well as chloroplasts and mitochondria. Lineage: Bacteria; Pseudomonadati; Bacteroidota; Flavobacteriia; Flavobacteriales; Flavobacteriaceae. The record is from RNAcentral.
GCAGCAGGUCUCUUAUCGCUGCUCAUCUUUGAUGAGGAGAGGAAAGUCCGGACACCACAGAGCGGCAUAGCGGGUAACGCCCGUCUUUCGUUACAAACGAAAAGGACUAGUGCAACAGAAAGAAUGUACAGGUAAUGCUGUAGUGAAAUCAGGUAAACUCUAUGCGGUGCAACGCCAAGUAAAUUUGCUUUUGAGAGCGGCUCGUUCGAUGUAA